Long non-coding RNA from Hippocampus comes (tiger tail seahorse), 919 nucleotides. RefSeq lists it as uncharacterized. NCBI's taxonomy places the organism in Eukaryota, Metazoa, Chordata, Actinopteri, Syngnathiformes, Syngnathidae. The record is from RefSeq and is a predicted model, not a curated record. The transcript is spliced from 2 exons.
CCAAACGUCACUCAGCCCAAACGCUUGCGUUAUAUCAUUUGAACAAAACCUCUUGGCUAUCAUCAAUACUUCAAAUGAUGUACAUUAUUUAUGUGUCAUGUGAUUGUUCAUUAGGUACAGUAUAUACAUUAGAUAGACAUUUGUUGACAUCUUACAGCGUCUGCCCUCUGAUUGAGUCAAGUCAACAUCAGCGCGAUGCCGAUGACUAAUGAAUGAGCUACCUGUUGAGAUACACCGCUGCGUUUGUAAAGAGACAAGUUGAUUAAUUGUCACACAGUCACCGAGGGGGCUUCGCAUCAGCCCCCAUCCGCCCUAUUGAAAUUUUAAAUGACAUGCGUGUUGCAGCCGUUUCGUAUUCUGUCAACAGACAAAGCAAGUGAAGUGAACUUCAUUGUCGUCGUCGUAUGGAUAUGUACCACAUUUCCAUGAUGAGGACGGCAAAGACGCUGUAUGGUGAUAUUGAACCGUAUGUGACGGCCGGACAGAGCAGUUGUCCUUCAGUGUACGACACGUUCAAAGUGAUUGCGACACAAAAGAGCCGGUACACGGUUGGAGUGAUUGGUUCCUUGUACGCUCUCUCUCAGCCCAAGAAGAGUUGGCCUCUUGUGUUUGCGCUCAUAUAUCACACUAAUAGAGGUGCACGGGUCCAGUGUGCGCAAUUUUCUACCGUCUCCUAAAAAAAAAAAAAAAAAAAAAAAAAGCAUUCAGUUGUGCCGUCAAGGUCUAUUUGUGAAUGAUACCACAUUUCUCUUUGUAUUACACUGGUUAUUUUUAAAUGGCUAUAUUAUCCUUUUUAAAGCCAUAUUGCCUUAUCUAAUAUGUCAGGCUUUCACAGCCCAAGCGUUCCUUGUGCAUAAGCCUGUAAGACUCGAGCUGUUGUGAUGCCGGAGCUUGCGGUGAAGGAGGACAAAAAAAAAAA